AAGUCGUAACAAGGUUUCCGUAGGUGAACCUGCGGAAGGAUCAUUCGUGUAAUUUUAAAAAUAAUAUUAUAUGUUGUGUGUUUUAUACGCAUAUAUAUAUUAUUAUAAAAAAACCUUUGUGAACCGUAAUGACCUAGUAGAAAAAGCAGGCAUUACAAACAGUCUGACUGGGUGUGUUUUAUAUAUUCAUUUAUAUAUAUAUACUUUAAAUUCUUUUUACAUAAUGUUUUAAACAAUAUAAUACAUAAAAAUUGUACAACCUUUAACAAUGGAUCUCUUGGCUCCU
RNAcentral lists this unclassified non-coding RNA (286 nucleotides) under fungal sp. RNAcentral describes it as "partial internal transcribed spacer region". The stretch from base 1 to 46 matches the Rfam family "Eukaryotic small subunit ribosomal RNA", at positions 1786 to 1831 of the family's 1831-position model. The record is from RNAcentral. Lineage: Eukaryota; Fungi.